AGUGGAUGGGGAGCAACCUAGUUGUGCGUGUGUAAAGGUAGUGCCAAGAAAAGCGGUGAUCAUGAUGAAAAUCAAUUCCCGGUACCCGAAACCGACACAGGUGGGCAAGUAGAGAAUACUAAGGGGCGCGAGGUAACUCUCUCCAAGGAACUCGGCAAAAUGACCCCGUAACUUAGGGAGAAGGGGUGCCACCGAGAGGUGGUCGCAGUGAAGAGGCCCAGGCGACUGUUUAGCAAAAACAUAGGUCUCUGCAAACUCGAAAGAGGAGGUAUAGGGGCUGACGCCUGCCCAGUGCCGGAAGGUUAAAGAAGUUGGUCAGUCUUAGGAUGAAGCUAGCGACUGAAGCCCCGGUGAACGGCGGCCGUAACUAUAACGGUCCUAAGGUAGCGAAAUUCCUUGUCGGGUAAGUUCCGACCCGCACGAAAGGCGUAACGAUCUGGGCGCUGUCUCGGAGAGAGGCUCGGCGAAAAAGGAUUGUCCGUGAAGAUACGGACUACCUGCAUUUGGACAGAAAGACCCUAUGAAGCUUUACUAUAGCUUGGAAUUGUGUUCGGGCUUCCUGUGCGCAGGAUAGGUGGGAGGCGUAGAAGGUAUUCUUGUGGGGAUACUGGAGCCAACGGUGAGAUACCACUCUCAGGAGGCUAGAAUUCUAACUUAAUUAAGGACAGUUUCAGGUGGGUAGUUUGACUGGGGCGGUCGCCUCCAAAAAGGUAACGGAGGCGUACAAAGGUUCCCUCAGACUGGUUGGAAAUCAGUCGAAGAGUGCAAAGGCAGAAGGGAGCUUGACUGCGAGAAGUACAGUUCGAGCAGGGUGGAAACACGGUCUUAGUGAUCCGACGGUGCUGUGUGGAAGGGCCGUCGCUCAACGGAUAAAAGUUACUCUAGGAUAACAGGCUGAUCUCCCCCAAGAGUUCACAUCGACGGGGAGGUUUGGCACCUCGAUGUCGGCUCAUCGCAACCUGGGGCGGAAGUACGUCCCAAGGGUUGGGCUGUUCGCCCAUUAAAGCGGUACGUGAGCUGGGUUCAGAACGUCGUGAGACAGUUCGGUCCAUAUCCGAUGUAGGCGUGAGAAUAUUGAGAGGAGCCUUCCUUAGUACGAGAGGACCGGGAAGGACGCACCGCUGGUGUACCUGUUAUGAUGCCAAUUGUAAACGCAGGGUAGCCAAGUGCGGAGAGGGUAACCGCUGAAAGCAUCUAAGUGGGAAGCCCACCUCAAGAUGAGUAUUCUGGUGUAAGGUCACGGGAAGACGUCCCGUAAAUAGGCACGAGGUGGAAGUGCAGAGAUGUAUGAAGCCGAAGUGUACUAAUAGACCGUCGGC
This 1319-nucleotide ribosomal RNA is filed under the name metagenome. RNAcentral's name for it is "bacterial LSU rRNA". It matches the Rfam family "Bacterial large subunit ribosomal RNA", at positions 1561 to 2925 of the family's 2925-position model. The record is from RNAcentral.